Molecule: ribosomal RNA, 253 nt
Filed under: uncultured bacterium
Lineage: Bacteria
Description: partial 16S ribosomal RNA
Rfam family: Bacterial small subunit ribosomal RNA
Source: RNAcentral
UACGGAGGGUGCAAGCGUUAUCCGGAUUCACUGGGUUUAAAGGGUGCGUAGGCGGGUAGGUAAGUCAGUGGUGAAAUCUCGGAGCUUAACUCCGAAACUGCCAUUGAUACUAUUUAUCUUGAAUAUUGUGGAGGUUUGCGGAAUAUGUCAUGUAGCGGUGAAAUGCUUAGAUAUGACAUAGAACACCUAUUGCGAAGGCAGCAGGCUACACAUAUAUUGACGCUGAGGCACGAAAGCGUGGGGAGCAAACAGG